UACAGAGGUGGCAAGCGUUGUUCGGAAUUACUGGGCGUAAAGGGCGCGUAGGCGGCCAUCUAAGUCAGACGUGAAAUCCCCCGGCUUAACCUGGGAACUGCGUCUGAUACUGGAAGGCUUGAGUAUGGGAGAGGGAUGUAGAAUUCCAGGUGUAGCGGUGAAAUGCGUAGAUAUCUGGAGGAAUACCGGUGGCGAAGGCGACAUCCUGGACCGGUAUUGACGCUGAGGCGCGAAAGCCAGGGGAGCAAACGGG
RNAcentral lists this ribosomal RNA (253 nucleotides) under uncultured bacterium. Its description in RNAcentral is "partial 16S ribosomal RNA". It matches the Rfam family "Bacterial small subunit ribosomal RNA", at positions 524 to 776 of the family's 1533-position model. The record is from RNAcentral.